Molecule: small RNA, 127 nt
Filed under: Marmota monax (woodchuck)
Lineage: Eukaryota; Metazoa; Chordata; Mammalia; Rodentia; Sciuridae
Source: RNAcentral
GCCUGGUGAGGUGGUGUACAUCUGUAAUCCCAGCAACUCAGGAGGCUGAGGCAGGAGGAUUGCAAGUUCAAAGCCAGCCACAGCAACUUGGUAAGGCUCUAAGCAACUUAGUGAGACCCUGUCUCAA